Molecule: unclassified non-coding RNA, 352 nt
Filed under: soil metagenome
Description: partial contains 5.8S ribosomal RNA, internal transcribed spacer 2, and large subunit ribosomal RNA
Rfam family: 5.8S ribosomal RNA (bases 1-120)
Source: RNAcentral
GAUGAAGAACGUAGCGAGAUGCGAUAAGUAAUGUGAAUUGCAGAAUUCAGUGAAUCAUCGAAUCUUUGAACGCACAUUGCGCCCGCCAGUAUUCUGGCGGGCAUGCCUGUUCGAGCGUCAUUACAACCCUCAGGCCCCCGGGCCUGGCGUUGGGGAUCGGCGGAAGCCCCCUGUGGGCACACGCCGUCCCUCAAAUACAGUGGCGGUCCCGCCGCAGCUUCCAUUGCGUAGUAGCUAACACCUCGCAACUGGAGAGCGGCGCGGCCAUGCCGUAAAACACCCAACUUCUGAAUGUUGACCUCGAAUCAGGUAGGAAUACCCGCUGAACUUAAGCAUAUCAAUAAGCGGAGGA